This 253-nucleotide ribosomal RNA is filed under the name uncultured bacterium. RNAcentral describes it as "partial 16S ribosomal RNA". It matches the Rfam family "Bacterial small subunit ribosomal RNA", at positions 524 to 776 of the family's 1533-position model. The record is from RNAcentral.
UACGUAGGGGGCAAGCGUUGUUCGGAAUUACUGGGCGUAAAGGGCGCGUAGGCGGCAUGGCAAGUCGGGAGUGAAAGGCCUGGGCUCAACCGAGGAACUGCUUUCGAGACUGCCAAGCUAGAGUGCGGAAGGGGCAUCUGGAAUUCCCAGUGUAGCGGUGAAAUGCGUAGAUAUUGGGAAGAACACCCGUGGCUAAGGCGGCUCUCUAGUACGUGACUGACGCUGAGACGCGAAAGCGUGGGGAGCAAACAGG